RNAcentral lists this ribosomal RNA (319 nucleotides) under uncultured Pseudomonadota bacterium. Its description in RNAcentral is "bacterial SSU rRNA". It matches the Rfam family "Bacterial small subunit ribosomal RNA", at positions 30 to 351 of the family's 1533-position model. Lineage: Bacteria; Pseudomonadati; Pseudomonadota. The record is from RNAcentral.
AUUGAACGCUGGCGGCAUGCUUUACACAUGCAAGUCGAACGGCAGCGCGGGGCAACCUGGCGGCGAGUGGCGAACGGGUGAGUAAUAUAUCGGAACGUACCCAAGAGUGGGGGAUAACGCAGCGAAAGCUGCGCUAAUACCGCAUACGAUCUAAGGAUGAAAGCGGGGGAUCGCAAGACCUCGUGCUCCUGGAGCGGCCGAUAUCUGAUUAGCUAGUUGGUAGGGUAAUGGCCUACCAAGGCGACGAUCAGUAGCUGGUCUGAGAGGACGACCAGCCACACUGGAACUGAGACACGGUCCAGACACCUACGGGUGGCAG